Populus nigra (black poplar) is the source of this 2723-nucleotide long non-coding RNA. RefSeq lists it as uncharacterized. Lineage: Eukaryota; Viridiplantae; Streptophyta; Magnoliopsida; Malpighiales; Salicaceae. The record is from RefSeq and is a predicted model, not a curated record. The transcript is spliced from 2 exons.
CAGACAUUCUUCAAUUCUGCCAGCAGUUUGAUUUUCAUGAAAUCAUUCUUUUUGUCUAGCUUUUGUUUUCAUCAAAUGAUCUGAUUGUCUCAUUGGUUGUGGGCAUGCAGGGACAAAACUAUGAGACAUCCCACAUCGGAGAAACAAGAAAUAACCUGUGAGCAAGUGCCUAUAAAACAUCGAGCAGACAACGUGGUUAAAGCACGCAGCCGCGCGGUGAGCACAAAGCGAACUAUUCUUUCGCCUUUUACUAAAGAAUACCGUGUGCGCGCCGCAAUCAGCGGCAUACGCUUAUUUUUGGAGGGUUCUUUUCAUUUUGUGAAGGACCCUAACUGAACAGUUUUAAGUUUCGCUUCUCUUGAGACAACAAAUUUAUCAAAGAAAUAUAGUCUAUGUGGCGGUAUGCCUGUAUUCUUGUUGAGUACUCAAAUUGUGAAGUGUGUAUGAAGUACAUGGGUCAUUAUCUACGCGUUCUGUCAACACUACCGUCAAAGCCUUUGCAGAGUUACCGGACCACUGCUUCUAAAGUGCUGAAGGGGAUAAAACGUAGUCGAGACUCAUAGUAUGUGAUCUGGCUAUGCUUCCAGACAUGCGAGCUCUUGUACAGUCAACAUGUUACCGAGGGUUUCUUUAAAGUAUUACCAAAUCAGUAUAAACAGUCUCGAAACGAAGUCAUGAUAAUAAGUUCCUGCUUUUAGAUUCCAUCUUUUACUAACAGAGUAAAAGCCUUGAAAUUUCACUUAACAAAAAAGGAGAGCAGUGAUCUACAAGUAUUUAUUCAGUCCUCAAUCCUUAGCUCUGCAACUGCAUCAGUAUCUGACGUAAUAAACAGCAUGUGGUUUGCCAUUAUUUUGUGUCUGAACAAGUUUUAUGGCAUUGUAAACUGCUGUCAGACAUUGCUUGGUACUGUCAAAUACGCAUAGGUAUGUAUUUCUUCUUAGUAUAAAUUAGAUUCUAUUGCCAGUCAUUUUUCAGUCUUAUGAUCAAGAAUAGCAUGUCUUUUUACAAGAAUCAUCAAUGAGCAACCUCAGAUUUCUGUGUGUGUGUAAUAACUUUUCUAUUCACUGUAUCAAUAACAAUGAGCUACAUUUUCUCCUUGGUUAUUUCUGAUAGGUUAUUGUUCUUUUUUUUUUCCUUUUGUUCCAAGUCAGAUUAUCAUAAUUGUCACAAGAUUGGGGAUGAUGCAUUGAUCAAGUUGAAUAAGGUCUCGAUACAAAGCUUCGGAGGAAUCUGCCCAAAUUCUCUCACCAAAUCAACCUUGAAGUUCAUUUUUGGGAACAGAUACUUGGGAUGGAAAUGCUUUACAACCUUCGCUAAUUCUGGAUUUUGAUUCUCUACCAUACAAUCAAUCAGUUCUUUAGGCAUCAACAUAUCUCUACUUGGUAUUAAAUAUAACUCAUUGGACUAGAGAAAAUGUGUGCAGGUGCAUUGGGAAUGCAAUGAAGCGUUUUACGUUCAACUUUACAAUCCCACACAGAAAAAAUACAAAGUUUAAGCAAGGAAUGUGUCUAUAAAUAAGAAGCUCGAAGCAACAUGGUUCAUACUUACCUGGACGGGGUCGAUUGGCGAUCAAGAAGGUCCAUGGCCUAGGUCAGUAACAUCCAUUGCACUGAGGAUGGGUGCUGGCUUAAGGUCUCCCCAAGCGGGAGAGCCUACGUCAAAAUUUGUGGUAGAGGGGGCUGCGCAAGCCGCGGCCCCUGUCCAAUUCUAGCUCAAGACUUCUUUUAAGUUGUACUUGCAAUUCUAUGGCAACAUUUCCUAGGGAAAUUAUUCUUUGUUGUUUUUUUUUGUCUCUUUCAUUAUUUGUUGGUUACGGUCUUAAUCCCCUGUAUUGUGAACAGAAAUUUGUUACACAUGAUGCAUGGUAACUUUGAACUUCCAUGGCUCAUUUUCUUCUCAAGAUUCCUUUCCUUUUCCUUCAAAAAACAAGUCUUUCAUUACCUUUAUCCUACGAAUAACUCAAAAGUUUUUGAAUGUUUUGUCCAUGAUGCGUUCAGAGAGGGCAAAAGAUUUCAUUCAAAAUCAGUGGUCUCCCAUUGAUUCUGUUUAGUGUUUCUGUUAAGAGUGAUGUCAAAUUUCCAAACACAACCAAAAGUCUGACAUUUUAUUGGAACCGUAGGACUUGAUUUCAGAGAAAUGGUUCGUCAAAUUUUCUCCUUGUAGGCAAAUGAAGCAAAAAGAAUGAUAUUCACAGCGGCGAAUGAUGCUGCCCGAUUGUUUCUGGGGAAUGAUGACCUGAUAUCGAAAUGGCAACACGCUCAGCUGCAAUAUCACAGAGAGUUAAGCUUACGAGCUAAUGUUCAGCAAGACAAAGAUGUGAGUCAUCUCUUCUCGAACAUUAAGAAAGAUAGCAGAAGCUGGUCAAGGAUUGCAAGAGAAAGGGAAGAAGGUUUAUGUGAAAAAAAACCCAUUUGAGAUGCCUCAGGAGAACAUGAUGCCCUCCCUUUCUAUCAAGGAUGUAGUUGGUGCUCUGGAGAUAGAAGACCCAGUUUCAAAAUCAAUUUCGACAUAUCGAUUGAAUGAGAAAAUGUAUGACGCUGCAGAUGCGCAAGGGAAUGAAGAGGAUGCUAAUCUCUCAAUAAAGAGGGAAAGGAAUUCUGAUCUAGUCAAUUGCUAACUAUGUACAAAUCACGCAGCUAGUUCUAGUUCUAGUUCAAGUUCAGGAUCUUUUAUUUUUUAAUGGCCAUUCCCGUUUAUCAAUAAAUUUUACUUUACAGUUCAAA